This 253-nucleotide ribosomal RNA is filed under the name uncultured bacterium. RNAcentral's name for it is "partial 16S ribosomal RNA". It matches the Rfam family "Bacterial small subunit ribosomal RNA", at positions 524 to 776 of the family's 1533-position model. The record is from RNAcentral.
UACGUAGGGUGCAAGCGUUGUCCGGAAUUAUUGGGCGUAAAGAGCUCGUAGGCGGUCCGUCACGUCGGCUGUGAAAACCCGGGGCUCAACUCCGGGCCUGCAGUCGAUACGGGCGGACUAGAGUACUGCAGGGGAGACUGGAAUUCCUGGUGUAGCGGUGAAAUGCGCAGAUAUCAGGAGGAACACCGGUGGCGAAGGCGGCUUCCUGGACCGACACUGACGCUGAGGCGCGAAAGCUAGGGGAGCAAACGGG